Molecule: long non-coding RNA, 3584 nt
Organism: Gallus gallus (chicken)
Lineage: Eukaryota; Metazoa; Chordata; Aves; Galliformes; Phasianidae
Source: Ensembl
UCCCCUUCAGUUUUCCUCAUAAUUUUUAAAACCUUUGUGAAAUCUGACUACUGGUUACACAGGUAUGGAAUGGUACUGAUAAGCUGUGCCUCUGUGGCAGCCAUGUGUCCCCCUGGAAGCCUGGUGCACUGCUUUGCUGUCUGCAGCGUUGCACACCUUUUGUUUUUGUCUGAGUUUCCCCACUGCUGCUCAUGCUGACCUGCCUUCAGCCUUUGAUAGGACUGGAAUGUGUUGCUGUGGCUCUCUCCAGCUCUUUACUUCUCCUGGAAGAGUCAUUUCUUCUUUCAGCCUUUGCUCACAGUCUGCACUUCUGCACCACUGGUGUCCCUUUGUGCCCAGCUGGCCCAAAUCCCCACCGUGGCCAGAACAGGGCCAGAUCCUCCAUCCCACGCCGUACCAGCCCUGUGCUGGCUGCACACAAUGGCACACUGCUGCACCGUUUCUCACACGAUGACAUCCACCUUUUCCACUUGAGCACACUGCUGUUGGCUGCAGUUCUGCUGAAGAUUUGCAGUGGCACACAGGUCUUGUGGAGCGCUGACAGAUUCAGCUGCUGCCCGUUCCAAGUCCCAGCCAAAUCCCAUUCAGCCCAUCUGAUUUCACCAUAGUAACUGGGACUGUUCUUUUUCCUCCCCUCAGGGCAGCUUGGAAGUGGGGCACAGAGUCAGCAGAACGCAUAACCCCCUUGCAAUGUGCACACACCGUAUGCACUCUUUUCCUGUGCCCUGGGCUAUUAUAUUUGCAGAUGUGGAAUUUGUUAUCCUUGCCAACAGGAUCUUAACCUAUGACUCUUUGGUGCCUGCAUCUUUGUGUGAUGCCUCAGCUACAAUGCAUGGUGCCUAUUUUGAUACAUCCUUGCUGUGGUCAGGAGCUGCUGACAGCCCUGAAUGCGUGUGCAGCUCCUGUGGGAGUGUCCCCGUGGUGCCCAGAGCUGCUUCUUGUCAUUAGUGUGGGCUCAGGUAUGCACUUCAGGCCACAAAGGAGCUAUGGAAAGCCCUGUAAAUACAAACACACAAUAUGGCAAACCCCAGAUCUCUUUUCCUCACCUCCCUUCCAGCUUCUCACUCCUUCUGCCAUAACCAUCACAAAUAGUUUCCUUCCGCCCACCAGGAGGGAAAGGCUAAAUGCAUCCCUUAUCAUCCUCCAGCUGAGCUCUCUGAGUCAUCUUGCCUGUGAGUUUCUGCCUCCUCUCCUUGCUCCUUGGCCUCGCUCUCUGCAGGAUCAGCUCACAGCUGCCACUCCCUUGCAGAACCCCAUGCCAGGCAAAGUGCAUCAGAGCAAGAUGGGCUCUGCUGUGCAGAGUGUGAGUGCUGCAUUUCCAACUCUGCCUGAAUCCUAACAGUAAUAGAAAACGUGCAAGACAGCAGGUUUCAUUCGUGUGCACAGCGCUUUAAAUUACAGCAAGGAUUGGGCAUGGUGCAGGGAGUGGAUCUGAGCUUCAGUGUCUGGAUGUUUGCAGAGAGAUGCUCACACAAACUCUCCUUUAACAACAAUAUUUUUCUUUCCAUCUUAAAUAUAACACAGCCACUUUGGACUUCAACAUUUCUCCUGCGGGGCUCCAACGUCAGAACAAAGGCUUGUUGUUAUUUUGCCAAACUGAAGUACUGGGAUGUGGAUGGAGCAAAAACUGAGUAAUCACUGAAUCGUUGAGCUAUCAGUUACCAUCAGUGACAGCUCCUGGAGCUGUUUGGGAAUCCCAGCCGUGAGAAACCUCUAUUGCUUUGGGCCAAGUCCUGCUCCUCCAUGGCUGCUGAAUGAAUGGCCCCUGCCAGUGCUGAAGGACCCUGGAAGAAAAACGUGUCUCUGAUUAUUUACAAAUACACUGAAGAGCGCAGACUGAGACCCCUCUACAGAAUGGCAAUAGAUUUGAGGUGUUCCUUUCUCGAAGGAAAACCACUUUUUUUUUCUUUUUUACCCCCAGUAUUUCAGAUGUAUCCAAAGGCACACUAAUAUUCUUUCUAUCAUUUUGGCCGAGUGUCACUUCACAGUCUGUAACAACCCCAAACCCUUCCCAUUUGUUACCCUGCAGCUCCCAGACAUGGAAGCUGCCAUGCACAGUGAUUACCUGCUACAAUUAAGUAAUUGAAUUGUUUCAUCCUGGUUCCUCAUCCUGAGCACUUAAGAGAAUGCCACUUCAGCCCAGUGAAUUUGCAGUCUUUGGUUUGGCUAUUUUUUCCUCAGCCUCCUCAGCAGGUAGCUUGAAUGUAAGUCAAAUCCUGUGCCAUGUCCUUACACAGAGUUUUGGCACAGAUGCUUCUCAGAGCUUGUCCUCGCCGACUGUGGUUGCAAAACACCCACUUUGUUCUUUUCCUUGUUCCCACCUUAUCUCCUGUGAGAGCUCCUGUUGCACCAUGGCCAACUUCUGACUCUCCAGCAGGCUUCCUGUGCUUCAUGUGUUUGAAGAGGAUUUAUUAUUAUUUGCUUUUGCUUUUUCGCCAGUAGUUCAUGUAACUGUUUUUUUGCUUGCCUUAUUUCCAUUUUGUUUUUAAAUUUAAAUGGUCAGGAUACACAUUCUUUUGCUCAUUUAGACAAAAAUUACUUUUCUAAGCAUUAAAAGGCUGCAUCCUUAAUGUCUGAAGGUCAUUGGCCCUUCUCAUCUCAGCUUCAUCUUAGACCUAACAAGGCAUAGGACUCAGGAUCUCACACUAGGCUAAUACCUGUUUUUUGGUUUGCAAGGAUUCUGUGAUACCAGAUUUUUCCAGCAUGACACAUUUAUAUAGAUAAAAAUCAUCAGUGGCUAGGAUGGAUUUUGCCUGUCUCAGGUUUGGAGUAUUUCACCUUCACCAGUGGAAGGAGGAGAGCAUUUCUCUGACUAGAUAUGAUUGUUUUUGAAGCAGUUUUGGGGUGUGCUCCCCUAGCAUGGAGCAAGCUGGGCAGGGAGCCCCACCAGAGGAGGUUUGGGGCGCGGGCAGAGGGACUGAGAUGCUCCCUGCCUCCUCGGCCUGUUUGCCUACAUGCAUCUGGAAGGCCUGUUGCCAUGGAGAAGUGAUGGGGAACCGUCUGCCUGGCUCGCCUGACUCUUUUCCUAGCACGAAGUAAAGGCAUUUCGCCAGCUUUAAUGAGCUGUAGGCGCUUGGCACAGUGGCUGCAUCCCCAUCUUUGUCACACUGGGCUGCCUGAACCCCCAGAUUCCAGGAGAGAUCUGAAAGCAGAGAGGAAACCUGAAGUGCAGGUGGGGAAGGGAGCAGAGUGCAAGAUGGAAACUGCAAGGAGAUUAGGAGCCAGGGAGUGAUGGAGCAGGGCCCUCCACAGGGGUGCAUGAGCUCUGGUUAUGAAUUGCAACAAGGGAAAUUCUGAUCAGUCAUGGAAAAAACUCCUUCCCUGUGAGAGUGGCGUAGCCCCGAGAUGGACACUGGAGAGCUCCAAAGCCCAUCAUCCAGCCAAGCUCUGAGCAGUGCCUUGAAGUGAGCCCAGCGCUGAGGCUCACUGAGCGGUGGAUGAGGGCGUUUGAAAGAGCUCCCAGAGGAGCACACAUGGCAGAUAGUGGCCUGAAAGUGGGGUGAAGGUGGAGGCAUCCCUCUCUUCCAUUUUGGAACUGACAGUACUGAGCACUGCUUCACUCGCUGUAAUUGCAUGGUUCACAU